This 472-nucleotide ribosomal RNA is filed under the name Escherichia coli. RNAcentral's name for it is "partial 23S ribosomal RNA". It matches the Rfam family "Bacterial large subunit ribosomal RNA", at positions 2327 to 2798 of the family's 2925-position model. Lineage: Bacteria; Pseudomonadati; Pseudomonadota; Gammaproteobacteria; Enterobacterales; Enterobacteriaceae. The record is from RNAcentral.
CUGGUCGGACAUCAGGAGGUUAGUGCAAUGGCAUAAGCCAGCUUGACUGCGAGCGUGACGGCGCGAGCAGGUGCGAAAGCAGGUCAUAGUGAUCCGGUGGUUCUGAAUGGAAGGGCCAUCGCUCAACGGAUAAAAGGUACUCCGGGGAUAACAGGCUGAUACCGCCCAAGAGUUCAUAUCGACGGCGGUGUUUGGCACCUCGAUGUCGGCUCAUCACAUCCUGGGGCUGAAGUAGGUCCCAAGGGUAUGGCUGUUCGCCAUUUAAAGUGGUACGCGAGCUGGGUUUAGAACGUCGUGAGACAGUUCGGUCCCUAUCUGCCGUGGGCGCUGGAGAACUGAGGGGGGCUGCUCCUAGUACGAGAGGACCGGAGUGGACGCAUCACUGGUGUUCGGGUUGUCAUGCCAAUGGCACUGCCCGGUAGCUAAAUGCGGAAGAGAUAAGUGCUGAAAGCAUCUAAGCACGAAACUUGCC